Molecule: long non-coding RNA, 367 nt
Organism: Armigeres subalbatus
Lineage: Eukaryota; Metazoa; Arthropoda; Insecta; Diptera; Culicidae
Exons: 3
Source: RefSeq, a predicted model, not a curated record
GCCGGAAGGUAGGUUUAUUGUUUAAUCCCAUUAGUGCUUGUAUCUUUUUAGGUGAAUUCAGCUACAGCUUAGGUCCACUUGCCUGCCUUUCAAAAGCAAAUUGUAACGUGGUAACUACUGGACUUGGACUGGAUGUUUGGCCAGGUCAUAUUUUUGUAAAACUGAACUAAACCACACACGGGAGCUCAUAAUUCAUCAACCCUAGGGUAACCGAUGGACAAUCUAACCAUUUCUAUUACAUACAUCAUGCCGGGAAGGUCUUGCAUAAGAAAACAACACUCCGCACAUUGAAUGACCAUCGUAGAAACCCACCUAAAAUAAAUUUUAAAAUCGGAAUCCUGAUUUACAAGACUACAGUGUCGACCCA